UACGAAGGGAGCUAGCGUUGUUCGGAAUCACUGGGCGUAAAGCGCACGUAGGCGGAUGUGUCAGUCAGGGGUGAAAUCCCGGAGCUCAACUUCGGAACUGCCUCUGAUACAGCACGUCUCGAGUCCGAUAGAGGUGGGUGGAAUUCCUAGUGUAGAGGUGAAAUUCGUAGAGAUCGGCAGGAACACCCAGGGGGAAACCAGUCGACUGGGCAGCACCUGACGCUGAGGUGCGAGAGCGUGGGGAGCAAACAGG
This 253-nucleotide ribosomal RNA is filed under the name uncultured bacterium. Its description in RNAcentral is "partial 16S ribosomal RNA". It matches the Rfam family "Bacterial small subunit ribosomal RNA", at positions 524 to 776 of the family's 1533-position model. The record is from RNAcentral.